AGGCCUGAAGAGAGAGGCAGGGUCUUAUUCGCAGCAUCUAUGGCAGCUGUUGGUCAGCCAUUGCCUCUCUCUUUCUCUAUG
Non-coding RNA from Myotis davidii, 81 nucleotides. NCBI's taxonomy places the organism in Eukaryota, Metazoa, Chordata, Mammalia, Chiroptera, Vespertilionidae. The record is from Rfam.